Molecule: ribosomal RNA, 490 nt
Filed under: uncultured bacterium
Lineage: Bacteria
Description: partial 16S ribosomal RNA
Rfam family: Bacterial small subunit ribosomal RNA
Source: RNAcentral
AUUGAACGCUGGCGGCAGGCUUAACACAUGCAAGUCGAGCGGUAGCACAGGGGAGCUUGCUCCCUGGGUGACGAGCGGCGGACGGGUGAGUAAUGUCUGGGAAACUGCCUGAUGGAGGGGGAUAACUACUGGAAACGGUAGCUAAUACCGCAUAACGUCGCAAGACCAAAGAGGGGGACCUUCGGGCCUCUUGCCAUCAGAUGUGCCCAGAUGGGAUUAGCUAGUAGGUGGGGUAAUGGCUCACCUAGGCGACGAUCCCUAGCUGGUCUGAGAGGAUGACCAGCCACACUGGAACGGAGACACGGUCCAGACUCCUACGGGAGGCAGCAGUGGGGAAUAUUGCACAAUGGGCGCAAGCCUGAUGCAGCCAUGCCGCGUGUGUGAAGAAGGCCUUCGGGUUGUAAAGCACUUUCAGCGAGGAGGAAGGUGGUGAGCUUAAUACGCUCAUCAAUUGACGUUACUCGCAGAAGAAGCACCGGCUAACUCCGUG